CGAACGCUGGCGGCGUGCUUAACACAUGCAAGUCGAACGAUGAUGCCCUUUGGGGUUGAUUAGUGGCGAACGGGUGAGUAACACGUGAGUAACCUGCCCUUCACUUCGGGAUAACUGUGGGAAACUUCAGCUAAUACCGGGUAUGACUCAGCUUCGCAUGGGGUUGGGUGGAAAGAUUUUUUGGUGGGGGAUGGGCUCGCGGCCUAUCAGCUUGUUGGUGGGGUGAUGGCUUACCAAGGCUUUGACGGGUAGCCGGCCUGAGAGGGCGACCGGCCACACUGGGACUGAGAUACGGCCCAGACUCCUACGGGAGGCAGCAGUGGGGAAUAUUGCACAAUGGGCGGAAGCCUGAUGCAGCAACGCCGCGUGCGGGAUGGAGGCCUUCGGGUUGUAAACCGCUUUCACUGCCGACGAAUGUGACGGUAGGCGGAGAAGAAGCACCGGCUAACUAC
This 452-nucleotide ribosomal RNA is filed under the name uncultured bacterium. RNAcentral's name for it is "bacterial SSU rRNA". It matches the Rfam family "Bacterial small subunit ribosomal RNA", at positions 30 to 504 of the family's 1533-position model. The record is from RNAcentral.